CUUUAAUUCUCCUAAUUAAAACUCAUAAAAAAAAUUAAAAAAUUUUUUUCCAAAAAAAAAAAACUUGCGUCACCAUCCCACCUCCCAGCCACACUUCGACGGCCGUUUCUGUGAGAAUCUAGGGUUUCGAUAUGGUUUCCCCAAUUAUUCGUUGAGAUUCUGGCAAUCUUCAGAAUUCGUGAAAUUUCGGCUAAAAUAUGAAUAAUUUUGCAGGAAUUUCCAUUCUCUGGGUGAAGAUCCUUGUUGCUCUGGUUUUCCGGCCAUUAUAGAGAUGCCUUGAAGCUUGAUCAUGAUGCCUGUGGCAACAUAGAUGCUACAAUUGCAUUAUGUUUCAGUGACUUAGAGGGAAUUGAGGAGUGGACAUUAUCCCAAGAUUAUCGAGAUAACCCAACAAGCAGAUAAAUGUCUACAAGAAGACGACAUGGUAAGCUAAUAUUGUGCAGUUGCUGUGAUAAUGUUGAGAUAACGCAACAAGCAGGGAAAUGUCUACAAGAAAACUACAUAGUGAAUGAACCAUCUUCAACUCCAAGAAGAAGAGCUUUCAACUUGCCGAGUGUAGCAUCCAUUGAAGAAUUGAAAACCUGAAGUUUUGAGGAGUUGCUUAAGGCUUACUGGGAGACAAGAUCAGGGAAGCAAGCCAAUGGGGAUGUUAAGCAGUUUUUUGAAGCUCAAGCUCAUGUUCAAGCCUCAUGGGAUUCAAGAGUUCCACGUACUGCCAUAAACUCAUAGUGAUAAGGACAUGAAUCAGAAAGCAUGGAGACGGCUUCCUGAUAUUAGAAGGGAAUGCUUGUACAGUAUACAAGCUUGAUUGAUUAUUGUAUUGAACUCAAUUUGAGUUCUUGUUAUAUACAUGGUUAGUGGAUCAAUUUCUGUAUUUAUUUGUGUGAUAUAUCUAUUUGUAAAUUUGAGGAAUUGGAUCAGAUUUUUGUGUAGAAUUUUUCACCUCUGUGAAAUGGCCUCCCAGUUAGGGGAUCAUUUAUUUUGUUAUGCAGGUCAUGGGAUGAAUUUCCUUUUUGUUAAACUAUAAGUACUUGUCAUCAGUCCCUGGCAAAAAGUAUCUCUUUAACCUCUUAAAAGAGGUGUAUUUGGGGGAAGAGUAAGUUUGU
Amborella trichopoda is the source of this 1106-nucleotide long non-coding RNA. RefSeq lists it as uncharacterized. The record is from RefSeq and is a predicted model, not a curated record. NCBI's taxonomy places the organism in Eukaryota, Viridiplantae, Streptophyta, Magnoliopsida, Amborellales, Amborellaceae.